Molecule: ribosomal RNA, 453 nt
Filed under: uncultured Paraprevotella sp.
Lineage: Bacteria; Pseudomonadati; Bacteroidota; Bacteroidia; Bacteroidales; Prevotellaceae
Description: partial 16S ribosomal RNA
Rfam family: Bacterial small subunit ribosomal RNA
Source: RNAcentral
ACGGAAGGCAGCAGUGAGGAAUAUUGGUCAAUGGAGGCAACUCUGAACCAGCCAUCUCGCGUGAAGGAAUACGGCCCUACGGGUCUUAAACUUCUUUUAUAGGGGGAUAAAGUGAGAUAUGCGUAUCUUUUUGUAGGUACCCUAUGAAUAAGCAUCGGCUAACUCCGUGCCAGCAGCCGCGGUAAUACGGAGGAUGCGAGCGUUAUCCGGAUUUAUUGGGUUUAAAGGGUGCGCAGGCGGCACGUUAAGUCAGCGGUGAAAUGUCAGCGCCCAACGCUGGCCUGCCGUUGAUACUGAUGGGCUUGAAUACACACAAGGAAGGUGGAAUUCGUCGUGUAGCGGUGAAAUGCUUAGAUAUGACGAAGAACUCCGAUUGCGAAGGCAGCCUUCUGGAGUGCGAUUGACGCUGAGGCUCGAAAGCGCGGGUAUCAAACAGGAUUAGAUACCCUGGUA